This 133-nucleotide ribosomal RNA is filed under the name Bacillus sp. UNCCL81. Its description in RNAcentral is "23S rRNA. Bacterial LSU". It matches the Rfam family "Bacterial large subunit ribosomal RNA", at positions 2793 to 2925 of the family's 2925-position model. The record is from RNAcentral. Lineage: Bacteria; Bacillati; Bacillota; Bacilli; Caryophanales; Bacillaceae.
CCCCCCUCAAGAUGAGAUUUCCCAUAGCGUUAAGCUAGUAAGACCCCUGAGAGACGAUCAGGUUGAUAGGUCAGAGGUGGAAGCGUGGUGACACGUGGAGCUGACUGAUACUAAUCGGUCGAGGACUUAACUA